RNAcentral lists this unclassified non-coding RNA (342 nucleotides) under soil metagenome. RNAcentral's name for it is "partial contains 5.8S ribosomal RNA, internal transcribed spacer 2, and large subunit ribosomal RNA". The stretch from base 1 to 120 matches the Rfam family "5.8S ribosomal RNA", at positions 35 to 154 of the family's 154-position model. The record is from RNAcentral.
GAUGAAGAACGUAGUGAACUGCGAUAAGUAGUGUGAAUUGCAGAAUUCAGUGAAUCAUCGAAUCUUUGAACGCACAUUGCGGCCAUAGGUAUUCCUUUGGCCAUGCCUGUUCGAGCGUCAUUUACACCCUCAAGCCUAGCUUGGUGUUGGGCGUCUGUCCCGCCGUUUUCGCGCGCGGACUCGCCUCAAAGUCAUUGGCGGCGGUCGUGCCGGCCCCCUCGCGCAGCACAUUUGCGCUUCUCGGAGGCCCGGCGGAUCCGCGCUCCAGCAAGACCUUUCACGACUUGACCUCGGAUCAGGUAGGGAUACCCGCUGAACUUAAGCAUAUCAAUAAGCGGAGGA